Molecule: long non-coding RNA, 3492 nt
Filed under: Nicotiana tabacum (common tobacco)
Lineage: Eukaryota; Viridiplantae; Streptophyta; Magnoliopsida; Solanales; Solanaceae
Description: long non-coding RNA (NTAB_LNC005167)
Source: RNAcentral
AGAAUUUAAGGGUUAAACACUAACUGGUCUUUCAAUCUAAAAAAGGUGAGUAAUUUAAGAACUAAAAACUGAAAGAGUGAGGUUUUGCUUUGACUACUAAAAAAUCAGAAUUAGUGUUGGUUUUUUUGUUGAAUUGAAGUUAUGAGUUUCUUUCCUUAAGAGUCUGAAAGAGAGAGUCAGAAAUCGAUUGUCCUAUUGCAUUUCUGGUUCACUUUGUUUCUGCCCGUUGAUUGUUGUUGGUGUUUCUAGGCUUUCAUUUGGUUUGUUCCUUGAGUUUGGUUGGUUAUUUGUUAUUGUUUCAUUGGGGUGUUGCUGGAAUUCUGCUAGUUUUAUUAAACACUGUUACUGGGCUGUUCUAUUUCCGUUACUGUUGUUGUUGCUACUGCUCCUGCUGAUCCUUUUCUUCCUUUUCCUUGUGGUCCCUUUCCAGGUACACAUUUCUGAGAUUAGUUCUGAUGUGACUUCAAACUGCAAAAAUGCUGAAUUAAAAUGCUUAACAGAUUGCCUAUUAAAGUGUGUUCAAUUAAUGUAUUAGAAUGUACAUUAGGAAAUAUUGUAUAUGUUUAUGCUCGUCUUAGAUAUGUAUUUACAUUGUACAACUAUACUAAAAAUUGGACUGUACCUAGAACUAUUCUAAGUAGUUUGAACUAUUUUCUAUAUGCCUAUGGGUACAUGAAUUGAUAGAUAGUCAUUACUGGAAAUUAUUUGAUUUAGUUUAAUUAGUGAAGUAUAAUUCUGAAUUCAUGCAAACUGGAAUAGAAAUGAGUCAAAGCUUGUGAAUUUUAAAUCAUGUUAGUAAUGGAGAUCUGUAAAUAUUAGGCAGAAUCAAAAAUGGCCAGUAAUUUCGUAGAAUCAGUAGGCCCACUAUAUUUUAAGUUAGGAUCGUAGUAGUAAUUGCUAAGAUCAUUAAUCCAAUAGGCAUGAGUUGAGUUCAAACAAGACGAGUUAACGAUUAAGUUUAACAAACUUUCGAAUAAACAUUAGUGAUUAAGGUUAAUUCUAGUUUCAAAUAGUUGUAAACAAUUAAUUCCAACGAUUCAAUUCAUCUAACAAUGUGGGUUUAAAUUAGUUAGAGGAUAAUUAGUUUAUUUUGGUAAUAUUAUUUGUAAAUUCUGUAUUCUAUUUAUAAUUUCAAUUUUAGUAAUAUUCAAUUAUAGAAUAAGACAUGAAACAAUCUCCCUUUGUCUCGAUUGCAAUUUUCAGUUUGCAUUUGUCUUAAUCCGAUAAAUAUGUAGCGGCCUUUUCAAGCAUGUAACUAACUAGGAUUUUUCUCUUUUUUAGAGACUAACUUAAAUAGAAAAAAUGUAGUCACUUUAGGAUUAUCCUUUUAAAAUAAACGAGAUGAGCCUCACCAAAUAAAACGCACGAGCUGCGGGGCCCUCAAUAAUUGGUUAAUAAUGUAUAGACUUCGGGAUCGGCCACUUACUGAAUUUCACGGCUUUUUCCCAAAAAUAACAAUGUGUUAGUCUCUUUAGGCGCAUAUUUUAAUAAUGUUAUCUCCCUAAAUUCGGGUGCACAUUUAUGUGGCCCAAAUCCAAAUCUCAACGUCGUCGAAACGUGUCAAUAACCACGGGUGCAUUGAUGUGACGUGGUUCGAGACCCGUUUUCACGACGUUGUAAGUUUUUUUUUAAAAAUAAAUAAAUAAUAAAAGCGAUUCAAAGUUAAAAUUGGCACAUAAGUUCAUAAUUGUUAAAAUGAGAUAAUUAAGCUAAAUACGACAGUUGAGCGACCGUGCUAGAACCACGGAUUUCGGGAAUGCCUAACACCUUCUCCCGGGUUAACAGAAUUCAUUAUCCGGAUUUCUGGUUCGCGGAUUGUAAUACAGAGUCAUUCUUUUCCUCUAUUCGGGAUUAAAACCGGUGACUUGGGACACCAUAAAUCUCCCAAGUGGCGACUCUGAUUCUUAAAUAAUAAAUCCCGUUUCGAUUGUCCUUCAAUUGGAAAAACUCCACUUACCCCUUACGCCCCUGCGGGCGCAGGUAAAAUGGAGGUGUGACAAGAAGUAUCGCAGAUGCGGCUCCUGGGUUGUUUAAUGAAAGUCACAGAUACUACAAGUGAUCUGCAGAAGCGGGACCGCAGAUGCGGUCCUAUAGCCGCAAAUGCGAGAAUGUCUGGGCACAACAUAUAAAUAGUUGCCUUUGCGAAAAUUGGCUAUUCUUCCACCAUUUUUGUCCGGGUUUGAAGCUUCUAAGAGGGGUUUUUGAGGAAAUCAAAGUAAAAUCACUUGGAGGUAAUGUCCUCGACUUCAUAACGCAUUUCUAUGUGAUUAAAGACCUAAUUAAUGGUGAAAAUUUUGGGAAAGAUGGUUAAUUAGGGUUUGAGUUUAAGAGACCUUUAAUUGAGGAUUUGAGGGGUCAUUUGGACUCCGAUUUUGGUGUUCUUGUUAUGUAUAGACUCGUGAGAGUAUGAGGUUUCUGAAAAUAUAAAUUUCACCCGAUUCUGAGACGUUGGCUUGAGGGGCAUUUUGGUCAUUUUACAUGAUUUCGCGUAUUAACUUAGAAUUUAAUUGUAGAAUCAGUUACUUGAAGUGUUAUUUACAAUAUGCAAUUAAAUUGAAUAGAUUUGGGCCACUUGAAGUCGGAUACUCGUGAAAAAAGUGUGGUUUCAAGUUGAUUUUGAGCCGGUUCGAGGUAAGUGGCUUGUCUAACCUUGUGUAGGGGACCUUCCCCUUAAGAUUGGUAUACUUGGUAAUUGAAAUGCCUUGUACGUGAGGUGACGAGUGUGUACUUGAGCUAAUUAUUGGAAAUUCAGUUUUUCUUAAGUAAUUACUAGUAUGUUUCUGUUCCCGUUUCUAUUUCUUGCACUAUAGAGUCUGUUGUUAGCUUAGGAAAGCAUGUCUAAGUGACUUAAUUUGAUUUAUUUGAUUUAACCUGCCUUACUUGGAUUCUAUGCAGCAUGCUACGCUAGAAUCACUUGUUGCCUUAAUAUGAAAUCUUGCCAUUUCUGUAUAUCUUCCUGUUGUUGUUGUGUAUUUAUUUUGGGACUACGGGUUAGAUUCCCGGUAGAUCUCCCUGCAUAUUUACUUUGGGACUAUGGGUUAGAUUCCCGGUAGAUCCCCCUGCAUAUUUACUUUGGGACUACGAGUUAGAUUUCCGGCAGAUCCCCUUGCACAGUUAUAUGGAACUACGGGAAUGCACCCGGUAGAUUCCCCAGUACUGGGUAUUUACAUUUGGGACUACGGAACGGGAUUUCGGUAGAUCCCCGCACACUAUGAGUUGGACUACGGGACGGUAUCCCGAGAGAUCCGUUGAAUAUAUAUAUAUGAUGGACUACGGGACGGCAUCCCGGGAGAUCCACUGGAUAUGUAAAGAUGGGACUACAGGACGGUAUCCUGGUAGGUCCCCGAUUGUUACUAUCGGUGCUGAGUUGUAUUUCCUUUCCAUGCUUACCUGGUUCUGUAUAGUUGUUGUUGUUCUGUUCACCCUGUGUUAUUUUACUGUUGUACUCAUUAUACUGUUUCGUUCUAUACUGUUAACCUUUACAUUUUAUUU